GUGUUGGCUUCUGCAGCACAUGUACUAAAAUUGGAACCAUACAGAGAUUAGCAUGUCCCUUGAGCAAGGAUGACAAGCAAAUUUGUGAAGCUUUCCAUAUUUUU
This is a small nuclear RNA of Molossus molossus (Pallas's mastiff bat), 104 nucleotides long. Lineage: Eukaryota; Metazoa; Chordata; Mammalia; Chiroptera; Molossidae. The record is from RefSeq and is a predicted model, not a curated record.